CAGUAGCCGCGGGAAUACGGAGGGGGCUAGCGUUGUUCGGAAUUUCUGGGCGUAAAGCGCACGUAGGCGGCUUGGUAAGUUAGAGGUGAAAGCCUGGAGCUCAACUCCAGAAUUGCCUUUAAGACUGCCGAGCUAGCAGGUGAGAGAGGUAAGUGGAAUUCCGAGUGUAGAGGUGAAAUUCGUAGAUAUUCGGAAGAACACCAGUGGCGAAGGCGGCUUACUGGCUCAUACUGGACGCUGAGGUGCGAAAGCGUGGGGAGCAAACAGGAUUAGAUACCCCUGUAGUCCCUGUCUCUUAUAC
RNAcentral lists this ribosomal RNA (301 nucleotides) under uncultured bacterium. RNAcentral's name for it is "partial 16S ribosomal RNA". It matches the Rfam family "Bacterial small subunit ribosomal RNA", at positions 509 to 807 of the family's 1533-position model. The record is from RNAcentral.